This 481-nucleotide ribosomal RNA is filed under the name uncultured bacterium. Its description in RNAcentral is "partial 16S ribosomal RNA". It matches the Rfam family "Bacterial small subunit ribosomal RNA", at positions 28 to 507 of the family's 1533-position model. The record is from RNAcentral.
GAUGAACGCUGGCGGCGUGCCUAACACAUGCAAGUCGAACGGAGAUUACGGACGGAAGUUUUCGGAUGGAAGACUGUAAUUCUUAGUGGCGGACGGGUGAGUAACGCGUGGGCAACCUGCCCUAUACAGGGGGAUAGCAGCUGGAAACGGCUGGUAAGACCGCAUAAGUCGGUUAAAUCGCAUGAUUUGAUCGGGAAAUGAGCAAUCAGGUAUAGGAUGGGCCCGCGUCCGAUUAGCCAGUUGGCAGGGUAAAAGCCUACCAAAGCGACGAUCGGUAGCCGGACUGAGAGGGCGGACGGCCACAGUGGGACUGAGACACGGCCCAAACUCCUACGGGAGGCAGCAGUGGGGGAUAUUGCACAAUGGAGGAAACUCUGAUGCAGCGACGCCGCGUGAGUGAAGAAGUAUUUCGGUAUGUAAAGCUCUAUCAGCAGGGAAGAUGAUGACGGUACCUGACUAAGAAGCCCCGGCUAACUACGUG